AACGCACAUUGCGCCCCCUGGUAUUCCGGGGGGCAUGCCUGUCCGAGCGUCAUUGCUGCCCAUCAAGCACGGCUUGUGUGUUGGGUCGUCGUCCCCUCUCCGGGGGGGACGGACCCCAAAGGCAGCGGCGGCACCGCGUCCGAUCCUCGAGCGUAUGGGGCUUUGUCACCCGCUCUGUAGGCCCGGCCGGCGCUUGCCGAACGCAAAACAAUCUUUCCAGGUUGACCUCGGAUCAGGUAGGGAUACCCGCUGAACUUAA
This 259-nucleotide unclassified non-coding RNA is filed under the name uncultured Eurotiales. Its description in RNAcentral is "sequence contains 5.8S rRNA gene, ITS2, 28S rRNA gene". The stretch from base 1 to 52 matches the Rfam family "5.8S ribosomal RNA", at positions 103 to 154 of the family's 154-position model. Lineage: Eukaryota; Fungi; Ascomycota; Eurotiomycetes; Eurotiales. The record is from RNAcentral.